UGGGGAAUUUUGGACAAUGGGCGCAAGCCUGAUCCAGCCAUGCCGCGUGCAGGAAGAAGGCCUUCGGGUUGUAAACUGCUUUUGUCAGGGAAGAAAUCCUUUGGGUUAAUACCUCGAAGGGAUGACGGUACCUGAAGAAUAAGCACCGGCUAACUACGUGCCAGCAGCCGCGGUAAUACGUAGGGUGCGAGCGUUAAUCGGAAUUACUGGGCGUAAAGCGUGCGCAGGCGGCUUUGCAAGACAGAUGUGAAAUCCCCGGGCUCAACCUGGGAACUGCAUUUGUGACUGCAAGGCUAGAGGGCGGCAGAGGGAGAUGGAAUUCCGCGUGUAGCAGUGAAAUGCGUAGAUAUGCGGAGGAACACCGAUGGCGAAGGCAAUCUCCUGGGCCUGCACUGACGCUCAUGCACGAAAGCGUGGGGAGCAAACAGGAUUAGAUACCCUGGUAGUCCACGCCCUAAANGAUGUCAACUGGUUGUUGGACGGCUUGCUGUUCAGUAACGAAGCUAACGCGUGAAGUUGACCGCCUGGGGAGUANGGCC
RNAcentral lists this ribosomal RNA (539 nucleotides) under uncultured bacterium. RNAcentral describes it as "partial 16S ribosomal RNA". It matches the Rfam family "Bacterial small subunit ribosomal RNA", at positions 355 to 887 of the family's 1533-position model. The record is from RNAcentral.